Molecule: long non-coding RNA, 321 nt
Organism: Amphiprion ocellaris (clown anemonefish)
Lineage: Eukaryota; Metazoa; Chordata; Actinopteri; Pomacentridae
Exons: 2
Source: RefSeq, a predicted model, not a curated record
AGCGGCGAGUCGAAACACCGAGGAGACACACAGGAGAGUUUGGGAGGCGAUGCAGCAGUAUCAAGCCGAAGACAAGAGGAUAUGAACUAGACGACAUAUGAGGAUGCUCUCUUAUGAGACUUCAUGGGAUUUACCUGAAGCAGCAGCACAUGAGCCUGCAGUGGCACAAGGUGUAGAGGAGGAGGACAGAGAUGUACAGGAUGCACUGAUGCACUACAUGUCAUGCAAAGUUAUUCUUCUUGUUAUACUUCUGUUUUUCUGUCCCCGGACCGCUAUUGUUUUCUUGAAAGCAAUUCUGACAAUAAACUUUUGUACCUUUUG